UUCACAUGAUUUCGACUCAAAAUCAUGGGUUUUCAUGGGGGAAAUUGGAUGUUUUGGGUAGAACCUAGGUUUUUCAAAUUUUGGAAAUUUGGACCUUGAUUUGAGGUCCGAUUUCAAAACAAAUUAUAUAUUUGGGUUUGUGAGGGAAUAGGUAAUCGGGGUUUGGUUCGAACCUCAGUUUUUGACCAUGUGGGCCCAGGGGCGAUUUUUGACUUUUUGUGAAAAACUUUUAAAAACCUAUUUUCAUGCAUUAGAAUUGAUUCGUUAAGCAUUUAUUGAUAUAGUUAAGUAACUUAUGGCUAGAUACAAGCGAAUUGGUGAUGGAAUCAAGAGGUAAAGCGAUAGUUGAGGCUUGAAUUAUGUUCGUGGCAUCGAGGUAAGUGUUUGGUCUAACCCUAGCUUGAGGGAUUAAGAGUUGUGUCCUAUUUGCCAUGUGCUAGUUGUUGAAUACGACAUAUAGGCAUGGUGACGAGCAUCUAUACAUUGGUGUCAAGCAUGCCCGUGAGUCUUAUAUUAUGAUUAAUGUGACCCCAUUUGUAUUGUUCAUGCUUUAUAUGAUGAUUUCUAUUGUUGAGCAAGGUUUGUGGAAGUGAUAUUUGUAUUUGAACAUUGAAGAGCGUUGGCUCAAGUUGUAAAGUAAUUUGUGGAAGUAUAAUUGGCAACUGGACCUUAUAGAGCAUUGGCUAAAAUUAUGAAUUGAGUUGUGAAGUAAAUGUGGGGAAAAAAGAGGAUUAUGAUAGUGUCUCCCUUGCCGGGAUGUUGUUAUUUUAAUGUUGUCUCCCUUUCCGAGAUGUUAUUGUUGAUAUUGUUUUCCCUUGCCUGGAUAUGACUAUUAUACUAUUGUUCCCUUGUCGGGAUGUACUUGUAAAUUUGUUGAUUUCCUUGCCCUUAUUGCUUUAUGAUUGUUGUUUGGGUGAGGAAGAGUGUUAAAACACAAAGGGUGAUGUCGUGCAUUGUUUUGGUGAGAGAGUGUUAAAGCACAAAGGGUGAUGUUGUGGAUGAUUUUGUAAGGAAGAGUGUAAAAUUACAAAGGGUGAUGUUGUGCCACACGAUGUACAAUUCUGUGCCGAUUAUAUUGAUUUUAUGGUGAGGACGAGAGUAAAAGCACAAAGGGUGAUGUCGUACAGAUUAUAUUGAUUCUUAUGGUGAGGACGAGAGUAAAAGCACAAAGGGUGAUGUUGUGCACUUGUUUGAUUUCUGAUUCCUGUUGAUAAUUGAGUUAUGGUGUUCCUUAUAUUUAUCUGUUGUCUUUCUGUUAUCAUUUGAUGUUUCCCCGCAGCAUGUUUCCCCCUCCCAUUCUUAACUAUACAUUCCUACUUUUAUUUUCUACUGUAUAUGAUUUAACUGCAUAGGUUUAUUUGGUAGUCUGGUCCUAGCCUCGUCACUACUUUGCCGAGGUUAAGCUAGGCACUUACCAACACAUGGGGUCGGUUGUGCUCAUACUACACUCUGCACUAUGUGCAGAUCCUAGUGCAAUAGCUUUCAGACCUUAGCUUUGGGUUUGCUUCCUUCAAUCCAUUCGGAGAUCCGAGGUAGUCCUGUAGGCGUACGCAUGCCUUGGCGUCUUCUCCUAUCCUUUCAUUCUAUUUCUUUUAUAUAUUUCAGAGACAAUGUUGUAAUAAAUCUUUCAGACCCUUAUUUGUAGUAAUCCUAGAUAGUCUAUGGAAUUGUGACACCAAUUUUAGGUAGUUUAUGUAUGGAUUGGUAUUGACAUCUUUAUUAAUAUGUUAUGUUUUAGUCUUUCGCUUUUUAAUUUCUGUUGUUUAUAUAAUAUUGGCUCUAAAUUGUUAAAGGAUUAAAAAUGGGGAAAAGGUAAAUAAUUUAAAUGGUUGGCUUGCCUAGCUUUCACUAGUAGGCGCCAUCACGAC
This 1868-nucleotide long non-coding RNA is filed under the name Nicotiana tabacum (common tobacco). RNAcentral describes it as "long non-coding RNA (NTAB_LNC015742)". The record is from RNAcentral. Lineage: Eukaryota; Viridiplantae; Streptophyta; Magnoliopsida; Solanales; Solanaceae.